UGGACCAUGGAAGGAAAUGUAUUC
RNAcentral lists this non-coding RNA (24 nucleotides) under Cricetulus griseus (Chinese hamster). Lineage: Eukaryota; Metazoa; Chordata; Mammalia; Rodentia; Cricetidae. The record is from RNAcentral.